Molecule: ribosomal RNA, 292 nt
Filed under: uncultured bacterium
Lineage: Bacteria
Description: partial 16S ribosomal RNA
Rfam family: Bacterial small subunit ribosomal RNA
Source: RNAcentral
GUGUCAGCCGCCGCGGUAAUACGUAGGGUGCGAGCGUUAAUCGGAAUUACUGGGCGUAAAGCGUGCGCAGGCGGUUGGUUAAGUCUGAUGUGAAAGCCCCGGGCUCAACCUGGGAAUGGCAUUGGAAACUGGUCAGCUGGAGUGUGGCAGAGGGGGGUGGAAUUCCGCGUGUAGCAGUGAAAUGCGUAGAGAUGCGGAGGAACACCGAUGGCGAAGGCAGCCCCCUGGGCCAACACUGACGCUCAGGCACGAAAGCGUGGGGAGCAAACAGGAUUAGAUACCCGAGUAGUCC